UACCUUCAAUGCUGUAAGGUUAAAAUAGACUACCUUCAUUGCUGUAAGGUUAAAAUAGACUACCUUCAUUGCUGUAAGGUUAAAAUAGACUACCUUCAAUGCUGUAAGGUUAAAAUAGACUACCUUCAAUGCUGUAAGGUUAAAAUAGACUACCUUCAUUGCUGUAAGGUUAAAAUAGACUACCUUCAUUGCUGUAAGGUUAAAAUAGACUACCUUCAUUGCUGUAAGGUUAAAAUAGACUACCUUCAUUGCUGUAAGGUUAAAAUAGACUACCUUCAAUGCUGUAAGGUUAAAAUAGACUACCUUCAUUGCUGUAAGGUUAAAAUAGACAAAAAAGGGGGUAAAACCUGGGGAAAACACUGCCCCUCAUUGCUGUUGGGCCAAGAAAACACACUUUCGUCCUAUGUAUUCCUUUGUAUGUAUAUUCCUCCUCCACCUCGUCCUCCUCCUUCUCCUCCUCCUCCUUCUCCUCCACCUCUUCCUCCCGCUUUUCCUCCUCCUCCUCCUCUUCAUCAUCACCACCAUCACGCUUGUUUCCUCCAUUCUUGGCUGCUGUCCACCCACCACCUGCUACCAUCUGUCAUCACUACCACCACUACCAUCAUCAUCAUCAUCAUCAUCACCACCAUUUCUACCAAGCUUGUUACACCAUAUUUUCCUCCUUCCAUCUCCCUAUUCUUUUCUUGUCUUCCCCUCCCUCCCUCCUCAUCCUCGUCAUCAUCAUCAUCAUCGUCUUCUUCCCGUUCCUCUCCUCCCUUCCCCCACCUCCCCCUCCUCAUUUUCCUCCCCGAUUCCUCCCCAGUCUUCCUCUUCCUCUCUCUCCCACCCUCUACCUCCCU
Long non-coding RNA from Eriocheir sinensis (Chinese mitten crab), 839 nucleotides. RefSeq lists it as uncharacterized. The record is from RefSeq and is a predicted model, not a curated record. Lineage: Eukaryota; Metazoa; Arthropoda; Malacostraca; Decapoda; Varunidae. The transcript has 3 exons.